GACGAACGCUGGCGGCGUGCUUAACACAUGCAAGUCGAACUGAAAGGCCCCUUUGGGGGUACUCGAGUGGCGAACGGGUGAGUAACACGUGAGUAACCUGCCCUUGACUUCGGGAUAACUUCAGGAAACUGGGGCUAAUACCGGAUAGGAAUCCUUGCUGCAUGGUGGGGGUUGGAAAGCUUCGGCGGUUUUGGAUGGACUCGCGGCUUAUCAGCUUGUUGGUGGGGUAGUGGCUUACCAAGGCUUUGACGGGUAGCCGGCCUGAGAGGGCGACCGGCCACAUUGGGACUGAGAUACGGCCCAGACUCCUACGGGAGGCAGCAGUGGGGAAUAUUGCACAAUGGGCGGAAGCCUGAUGCAGCAACGCCGCGUGCGGGAUGACGGCCUUCGGGUUGUAAACCGCUUUCAGCAGGGGCGAAGCUUGUGGUGACGGUACCUGCAGAAGAAGCACCGGCUAACUACGUG
Molecule: ribosomal RNA, 465 nt
Filed under: uncultured bacterium
Lineage: Bacteria
Description: partial 16S ribosomal RNA
Rfam family: Bacterial small subunit ribosomal RNA
Source: RNAcentral